AUAAAGGAUAAUUAGUGGCAGACGGGUGAGUAAUGCAUAGGAAUCUACCUAGUAGUAUGGGAUAGCCACUAGAAAUGGUGGGUAAUACUGUAUAAUCCCUGCGGGGGAAAGAUUUAUCGCUAUUAGAUGAGCCUAUGUUAGAUUAGCUAGUUGGUAGGGUAAAGGCCUACCAAGGCGAUGAUCUAUAGCUGGUCUGAGAGGAUGAUCAGCCACACUGGAACUGAGAUACGGUCCAGACUCCUACGGGAGGCAGCAGUGGGGAAUAUUGGACAAUGGGCGCAAGCCUGAUCCAGCUAUGCCGCGUGAGUGAGGAAGGCCUUAGGGUUGUAAAACUCUUUCAGUAGGGAAGAUAAUGACGGUACCUACAGAAGAAGUCCCGGCAAACUCCGUGCCAGCAGCCGCGGUAAUACGGAGGGGGCAAGCGUUGUUCGGAAUUAUUGGGCGUAAAGGGCAUGUAGGCGGUUCGGUAAGUUAAAGGUGAAAUGCCAGGGCUUAACCC
RNAcentral lists this ribosomal RNA (499 nucleotides) under Anaplasma phagocytophilum. RNAcentral describes it as "bacterial SSU rRNA". It matches the Rfam family "Bacterial small subunit ribosomal RNA", at positions 81 to 615 of the family's 1533-position model. The record is from RNAcentral. Lineage: Bacteria; Pseudomonadati; Pseudomonadota; Alphaproteobacteria; Rickettsiales; Anaplasmataceae.